CAGCCACACGGCAGGGGAACAACACCACAAGGCUGUUCCAUGGGCAACUCAGCAGAAGUCAGACCAGAAGAGCCAGUUCCCAGCACAGCACGGAAAGCUCCGGCCCGCUGCGUAUUUCUUCCACAGAAGAGACAGCAUGCAACAAGGGGUUGUGAAUUUUGUAUAUGAUGAUUUCUUGCAGUGCAUUAUGGCAGUCUGAGGGCUGAAGUGCUGGACAGAAGAAGGAUCAUCAAUCAGAGUUUUGUUUUGGAAGAAAUAAACUGAACCUACAGUGAAUAGUGGAAACAGUUGCAGAGCUUGGUGUCUUCCUGCCAGAUGAGACGUCUGCUUUGGUCCUCUGCAGCUGUGUUGUAGUUUGCUUUUUUGUUUGUCAGUGCAGCAUUCAGAGCAAUAAAUAUAUUUUUCAUAUUUUUGGAAAGUUUUUUUUUAUAUCUACCUACAUUGUUCCGGACAGGUACAUUUCUGUGUUAAGUUCCUGACCUUAUUAAAGAAUGAAGCUUGUGAUGAGAAAUAUAGGGCCUUUUUAUGUAUGGCCAAAUAAGUCAGACAAAUAGAAUAUCAACAUAAACUAAACUUAAUCUAAUGUAGGUAUUUUUUCAUCAGUUACUGUGUGUUCUGAACAGUU
Molecule: long non-coding RNA, 625 nt
Organism: Nothoprocta perdicaria
Lineage: Eukaryota; Metazoa; Chordata; Aves; Tinamiformes; Tinamidae
Exons: 3
Source: RefSeq, a predicted model, not a curated record